Molecule: non-coding RNA, 1764 nt
Organism: Oryctolagus cuniculus (rabbit)
Lineage: Eukaryota; Metazoa; Chordata; Mammalia; Lagomorpha; Leporidae
Source: RefSeq, a predicted model, not a curated record
UUUCUAGAGGGGCGUUAAUCGAGUCCCUGAGCUGCUGUGGAUUAGGAAAUGAAUGUCACAGCCCAAGACGGCUCCUAAACUGAGAAGGGGGAAAAAACAAAACCAAAAAAAAUCUGAAAAAUGUAACCAGGAAUUAGUGAUUCCUAGCGGCUUAAAAGGUUGCUUUAAUUACAUUGUUGAUUAAGUUUAUUUAGCAAAGGAGAAGUAUCCUCUGCCAUGUGGAAAUUUUGAGGAAUAUCUGCUACAGAUUUUGGAGGACAUUUAGUAAACGCACCUUGUAUGUGCAUCAGAAUGACCUAAAUUAUACCCAAAUUAACAACACUUACAGAUGUGGCGUUGGAACCAAUAUCGAGGUUCAGUGAGAUUUAAAAUCAUAGGGUGCUUAUGAAAAUCAAUCCAAAUGAAGUCUCACCUCUGAACGUCAAAAAUGCAAUUAAAAUGCCAGAUAAUGCUUUUAUGUCAUUUAGACAAAAAGGUGAAAAAGAAUCAGGGAUGUGGGGAUUUGUACACUCAUAUUGUUGUUUGAAGUGUAAAUUGGUAGACUCUUCCUAGAGGAAAUCAUCUAUACAAAACAAUAAUAAGGCAGUGAUGGUCAAAUGUAAGUGGCCUAAAAGUAGUAAGUAAAAAAGGAUACGUAAUCAUAGUUAGUAUUGGUUGAAUAAAUUACAGUAGAUGUUAUGUAAAAACUAGGCAACCUUUGACAGUGAACCUAAAAAUUGGUAUAUUUAUAUAGGCAUCUGAAAACAUGAAUUUUAGGUACAAAAACAUGUAAAGUGACAAAUAGCCACAAUCAUAAAAGACAAAAAACAUGAGAAUAUUAUGAUUAUCCCUGAAUGGUUAGACUUUUCACUGAUUUUUUUAUGCAUUUUAUAUUUUCCAGACACAUCUGAGAUGAGCAUACUUUUUUUUUUUUUUUAACAGAGUUAGACAGUGAGAGAGAAAGUCAGAGAGAAAGGUCUUCUUUCCGUUGGUUCACCCCCCAAAUGGCCGCCACAGCAGACACUGCGCCAAUCGGAAGCCAGGAGCCAGGUACUCCCACCUGGUGCGGGUACAGGGCCCAAGCACUUGGGCCAUCCUCCACUGCCCUACUAGGCCACAGCAGAGAGCUGGACUGGAAGAGGAGCAACCGAGACUAGAACCAGGCGCCCAUGUGGGAUGCUGGCGCUGCAGGCGGAGGAUUAACCGAGCAGAGUGGACAGUGAGAGAGAGAGACAGAGAAAGGUCUUCCUUUUCCGUUGGUUCACCCCUCAAUGGCCACUGCAGCCGGCGCACUAUGGCUGGCAUGCUGUGCCGAUCCGAAGCCAGAAACCAGGUGCUUCUCUUGGUCUCCCAUGCAGGUGCAGGGCUCAAGGACUUGCGCCAUCCUCCACUGCCCUCCUGGGCCACAGCAGAGAGCUGGACUGGAAGAGGAGCAACCAGGACAGAAUCUGGCGCCCCAACCGGGACUAGAACCCGGGGUGCUGGCGCCGCAGGUGGAGGAUUAGCCUAUUGAGGCACGGUGCCGGCCUGGUGUUGCAUCCUUUAAGAACUGGUACCCGAAUACCUUGUCUUUUCAUAGUUUUUUCCUCAUGCCCUCUAAUUUAGUCUUUCUGAACUACCGCAAUUGCUCAAAUGUUUCCAUACUUUUUGUAUCUUCAAACAAGCAAUUCUUUUUGCUUUCUUGGCCUUUAUUCUAUUUAGAUCCUAGACCUUCUCUAAACUUCCACUCAGAUUUCCUGACUCAGUAUGUGACCGGUAUUAGGUAAAUAAUAAAUAUUAAAUCUA